Molecule: long non-coding RNA, 150 nt
Organism: Perca fluviatilis (European perch)
Lineage: Eukaryota; Metazoa; Chordata; Actinopteri; Perciformes; Percidae
Exons: 3
Source: RefSeq, a predicted model, not a curated record
UUUCACUUCCCAAGGAUUGUGUCGCAGCUUUUCCUCUCCGUGUGAAGCUCUAGCUGAAGGGUGGAGCCUGCUGGAGUCAGAUGGUUGACACCAGGUCCAUGGAGGUAUUCCUGUCAACUCACACUGGACACAAACACAGUGAACAGAAAA